Molecule: long non-coding RNA, 744 nt
Filed under: Lactuca sativa (garden lettuce)
Lineage: Eukaryota; Viridiplantae; Streptophyta; Magnoliopsida; Asterales; Asteraceae
Description: long non-coding RNA (LSAT_LNC001383)
Source: RNAcentral
AAGUGUGAAGAUAGACAAAACUCACAGAUUAUUGACAUUAGUGCAAAACCUACUAUUAGAUAGUUCUACUAUCCCUAACUUUGUCCUCUCUUUCCUGAUUUUUUCUUCCAACAUGAGAAGAUGGAACUUCCUAAGGGUGUCAACGCCAUCCUACUUUAGUAGGAAAAGUGGUGUUCUAACUCUCUCCAACCUAUGAUAGAUUAAGUUAUAUCAAUAUCCUCCAACUGUAGUGGAUCACUCUGUAGAUUUUACUUUUUUGCCCUUAGUAGAUUUAGAUUGUACUUCAAACUAAAUUUCCUUCACAGAAAAACACAAAAAGUACAUUGUAAGUUAUUUUUGUACUGAAAAAAAUGGGAUAUUAAACUAACCUGCUCUUAUGAAGUCAGAUAGACCGAAAUCUAUAGCCUACAAGUGGGAUUCAUCUUUCCUUGACUUGAAAGAAAAUUCUACAGAAAUACAAAAUCAAUACAAAUCACAAUGUUAAAUUCGUCUUUUUGGAAAAUGAUCUAUGAUGGCAUGUAUGUUUUUUCUAACCUUUCUAACUAUGUUUUCUUUUCACUGGAACAAUAAAUUUCUAAAGAUAAUCAAAGAAGCCAUCCUAGUUUUAACAAAAAACAAUGGUUAAAUAAAUAAGAUUUGGUCGAAUAUCAGGGAAGCUAUUAGUGGCCACAAAUCCAGGGCAACAUAUUGAUGUUCAUCACGAAAUCACAGAUUUCAUAUUGUAAUCCUUGACUCACUAAAAAA